GAUGAACGCUAGCGGGAGGCCUAACACAUGCAAGCCGAGCGGUAUUGUUUCUUCGGAAAUGCGAGAGCGGCGUACGGGUGCGUAACACGUGUGCAACCUGCCUUUAUCUGGGGGAUAGCCUUUCGAAAGGAAGAUUAAUACUCCAUAAUAUAUUGAACGGCAUCGUUUAAUAUUGAAAGCUCCGGCGGAUAGAGAUGGGCACGCGCAAGAUUAGCUAGUUGGUGAGGUAACGGCUCACCAAGGCGAUGAUCUUUAGGGGGCCUGAGAGGGUGAUCCCCCACACUGGUACUGAGACACGGACCAGACUCCUACGGGAGGCAGCAGUGAGGAAUAUUGGUCAAUGGGUGCAAGCCUGAACCAGCCAUCCCGUGUGAAGGACGACUGCCCUAUGGGUUGUAAACUUCUUUUGUAUAGGGAUAAACCUACCCUCGAGAGGGUAGCUGAAGGUACUAGACGAAUAAGCACCGGCUAACUCCGUG
RNAcentral lists this ribosomal RNA (479 nucleotides) under uncultured bacterium. RNAcentral's name for it is "partial 16S ribosomal RNA". It matches the Rfam family "Bacterial small subunit ribosomal RNA", at positions 28 to 507 of the family's 1533-position model. The record is from RNAcentral.